This is a long non-coding RNA of Hibiscus syriacus, 409 nucleotides long. RefSeq lists it as uncharacterized. The record is from RefSeq and is a predicted model, not a curated record. The transcript has 3 exons. Lineage: Eukaryota; Viridiplantae; Streptophyta; Magnoliopsida; Malvales; Malvaceae.
AACUUGCAUGCAAAAAGCUAAGCAUAAGCAAGCAGCCUGGGCUGCUAAUUCUCUUUCACAUUAACCGUUGAGGUUAGAUGAGUAAGAAAAAGAAUCCUUUGGUAUUCUUAGAUGUUUCGAUUGGUGGAGAUCCAGUGGAAAAAAUUAUUAUCGGGCUAUUUGCAGAUGUUGUUCCCAAGACAGCUGAGAAUUUCCGGGCACUCUGUACAGAUAUCUCUAAAAAUUUUCAGUAUUUAGUAAGUUGUUAUAUUUACAGUUGAUUAGAGAGCAUGGUGUAGUUCAAUUGGUUGAGCUUAUAAUAGUUGUCAUCUUUUUACAGCGUGUCGGUAUUUAUGAACCUGCCGUCAAUUAUUUUUUAAUGUCUUUAUAAGUUCCUUAUAAUGUCUCUAGUACUGUAGACUUUGUAGUC